RNAcentral lists this ribosomal RNA (429 nucleotides) under Bacteroidota bacterium. Its description in RNAcentral is "Bacteroidetes bacterium partial 16S ribosomal RNA". It matches the Rfam family "Bacterial small subunit ribosomal RNA", at positions 355 to 776 of the family's 1533-position model. The record is from RNAcentral. Lineage: Bacteria; Pseudomonadati; Bacteroidota.
UAGGGAAUCUUCCGCAAUGGACGCAAGUCUGACGGAGCAACGCCGCGUGAGUGAAGAAGGAUUUCGGUUCGUAAAACUCUGUUGUUCGAGAAGAACAGCGCAUAGAGUAACUGUUAUGCGUGUGACGGUAUCUAACCAGAAAGCCACGGCUAACUACGUGCCAGCAGCCGCGGUAAUACGUAGGUGGCAAGCGUUGUCCGGAUUUAGUGGGCGUAAAGCGAGCGCAGGCGGUCAAUUAAGUCUGAUGUGAAAGCCCCCGGCUCAACCGGGGAGGGUCAUUGGAAAGUGGUUGACUUGAGUGCAGAAGAGGAGAGUGGAAUUCCAUGUGUAGCGGUGAAAUGCGUAGAUAUAUGGAGGAACACCAGUGGCGAAGGCGACUCUCUGGUCUGUAACUGACGCUGAGGCUCGAAAGCGUGGGUAGCAAACAGG